UACGUAGGUCCCGAGCGUUGUCCGGAUUUAUUGGGCGUAAAGCGAGCGCAGGUGGUUUAUUAAAUCUGGUGUAAAAGGCAGUGGCUCAACCAUUGUAUGCAUUGGAAACUGGUAGACUUGAGUGCAGGAGAGGAGAGUGGAAUUCCAUGUGUAGCGGUGAAAUGCGUAGAUAUAUGGAGGAACACCGGUGGCGAAAGCGGCUCUCUGGCCUGUAACUGAUACUGAGGCUCGAAAGCGUGGGGAGCAAACAGG
RNAcentral lists this ribosomal RNA (252 nucleotides) under uncultured bacterium. RNAcentral describes it as "partial 16S ribosomal RNA". It matches the Rfam family "Bacterial small subunit ribosomal RNA", at positions 524 to 776 of the family's 1533-position model. The record is from RNAcentral.